This 1010-nucleotide unclassified non-coding RNA is filed under the name Zea mays. RNAcentral describes it as "misc RNA Zm00001eb030750". Lineage: Eukaryota; Viridiplantae; Streptophyta; Magnoliopsida; Poales; Poaceae. The record is from RNAcentral.
CGCCCGCCGUCUCCACCGCCACGCCGAGCCGCGCGCGCCACGUCAACGCGCCGCGGCCCCCGGUGCUGGCGCCCGCGGAGUGGAGGUGCUGGGAGAGCGUGCCGUUGGGCACGUACUCGUAGACGAGCACCUGCUCGCCGCCGUCGAGGCAGCAGCCGAGGAGGCGGACCAGGUUCGGGUGGCUCACGGAGGAGAUGAGCUUGAUCUCGUUCAGCAGCAGCGCCGCCUCCGCAGCCGCGUCCUCGUCCUCGUCGUGGUGGUGGCGUCGGCGCAGGCGCUUGAUGGCCACCAGCGCCGGCGCGCUGCCCGUGCCCGGGAGCUUGCCCACGUACACGGUGCCGUACGCGCCCGUGCCCAGGCGGUGUGUGUGCGAGAAGGAGUUGGUCGCGCGCGCGAUCUCGCCGUACGAGUACACCGGCACGCCGCUCGACGUCGCCGCCUCCGACAGCAGCCGCAUCGCCGCCAGCCGCUCCGACGCCGAGCGCCCGGCCUUGCGCCGCCGGCACUGCAGCCAGCACAGCAGAAGCGCGCCGGUGGCCGCCGCCACGCUCGCCGCAACACCUGCCGUCAGAAUUGACAAAUCUCAUCAUUCCAGGUCUACUGCAGCAGUCUGCAACAAAAAUCUGACUUCACUAUACAAAAGAUUUUCUUUUUUUCGUUUCUUCCAUUUAUCUUUUCCAGGUCCCGGUCAGCAAAUCAACGUGCUUGAAACUGCACGUAACCGGCGGCGAAAAGAUGGAGCAGGCGAGACAAAGCUGACUUUUGACUGGACUCGUCUCGUCGUUUGUUCUCACCAUGCCGUACUCAAACAGGAUUACUGCCGGUUGUACUAUCCAAAAGCAAGGCAGAAGAGUUCUGUUAAUCGUUUUUGUCGUUUUACCUGCUGCAACUACGAGGACAAUCUUCUUCGCGGAACGCUCUGCAAAAAGGAGAGCAAAAUGUCAGGAAAAAAGAACGGGAGCAUUACACAGGAAGGUUAUAUAUAUUUGCUUUUGAUGAAACAGAAGUCG